This 460-nucleotide ribosomal RNA is filed under the name uncultured bacterium. Its description in RNAcentral is "partial 16S ribosomal RNA". It matches the Rfam family "Bacterial small subunit ribosomal RNA", at positions 338 to 795 of the family's 1533-position model. The record is from RNAcentral.
CCUACGGGUGGCAGCAGUGAGGAAUAUUGGUCAAUGGACGAGAGUCUGAACCAGCCAAGUAGCGUGAAGGAUGACUGCCCUAUGGGUUGUAAACUUCUUUUAUAUGGGAAUAAAAUGUUCCACGUGUGGGAUUUUGUAUGUACCAUAUGAAUAAGGAUCGGCUAACUCCGUGCCAGCAGCCGCGGUAAUACGGAGGGUCCGAGCGUUAUCCGGAUUUAUUGGGUUUAAAGGGAGCGUAGGUGGAUUGUUAAGUCAGUUGUGAAAGGUUGCGGCUCAACCGUAAAAUUGCAGUUGAAACUGGCGGUCUUGAGUACAGUAGAGGUGGGCGGAAUGCGUGGUGUAGCGGUGAAAUGCUUAGAUAUCGCGAAGAACUCCGAUUGCGAAGGCAGCAUACCGGCGCCCGACUGACGCUGAGGCACGAAAGCGUGGGGAUCGAACAGGAUUAGAUACCCCGGUAGUC